GACGAACGCUGGCGGCGCGCCUAACACAUGCAAGUCGAACGAGCGAGAGAGCGCUUGCUUUCUUGAGCGAGUGGCGAACGGGUGAGUAACGCGUGAGGAACCUGCCUCAAAGAGGGGGACAACAGUUGGAAACGACUGCUAAUACCGCAUAAGCCCACGGUGCCGCAUGGCACAGAGGGAAAAGGAGCAAUCCGCUUUGAGAUGGCCUCGCGUCCGAUUAGCUAGUUGGUGAGGUAACGGCCCACCAAGGCGACGAUCGGUAGCCGGACUGAGAGGUUGAACGGCCACAUUGGGACUGAGACACGGCCCAGACUCCUACGGGAGGCAGCAGUGGGGAAUAUUGCACAAUGGGGGAAACCCUGAUGCAGCGACGCCGCGUGGAGGAAGAAGGUCUUCGGAUUGUAAACUCCUGUUGUUGGGGAAGAUAAUGACGGUACCCAACAAGGAAGUGACGGCUAACUACGUG
Molecule: ribosomal RNA, 466 nt
Filed under: uncultured bacterium
Lineage: Bacteria
Description: partial 16S ribosomal RNA
Rfam family: Bacterial small subunit ribosomal RNA
Source: RNAcentral